This 427-nucleotide ribosomal RNA is filed under the name uncultured bacterium. RNAcentral's name for it is "partial 16S ribosomal RNA". It matches the Rfam family "Bacterial small subunit ribosomal RNA", at positions 355 to 774 of the family's 1533-position model. The record is from RNAcentral.
UGGGGAAUAUUGCACAAUGGGCGCAAGCCUGAUGCAGCCAUGCCGCGUGUAUGAAGAAGGCCUUCGGGUUGUAAAGUACUUUCAGCGGGGAGGAAGGUGUUGAGGCUAAUAACCUCAGCAAUUGACGUUACCCGCAGAAGAAGCACCGGCUAACUCCGUGCCAGCAGCCGCGGUAAUACGGAGGGUGCAAGCGUUAAUCGGAAUUAGUGGGCGUAAAGCGCACGCAGGCGGUCUGUCAAGUCGGAUGUGAAAUCCCCGGGCUCAACCUGGGAACUGCAUUCGAAACUGGCAGGCUAGAGUCUUGUAGAGGGGGGUAGAAUUCCAGGUGUAGCGGUGAAAUGCGUAGAGAUCUGGAGGAAUACCGGUGGCGAAGGCGGCCCCCUGGACAAAGACUGACGCUCAGGUGCGAAAGCGUGGGGAGCAAACA